GGACUUAUAGCUCAGUUGGUUAGAGCGUGGUGCUAAUAUGAAAAAUCAUGUAACGCCAAGGUCGUAGGUAAGAUUUCACAGAUCCAGACACAGAUACCUUCCGAUUCCAAUCGAACAAAUUAGCUAACAGAGUUCCCGCAGGUUCGAGCCCUACUUGGUCCA
This 162-nucleotide transfer RNA is filed under the name Dactylellina haptotyla CBS 200.50. It matches the Rfam family "tRNA". From Rfam's summary of the family: Transfer RNA (tRNA) molecules are approximately 80 nucleotides in length. Their secondary structure includes four short double-helical elements and three loops (D, anti-codon, and T loops). Lineage: Eukaryota; Fungi; Ascomycota; Orbiliomycetes; Orbiliales; Orbiliaceae. The record is from Rfam by way of RNAcentral.